GACGAACGCUGGCGGCGUGCUUAACACAUGCAAGUCGAACGGAAAGGCCUAGCUUGCUGGGUACUCGAGUGGCGAACGGGUGAGUAACACGUGGGUGAUCUGCCCCUGACUUUGGGAUAAGCCUGGGAAAAUGGGUCUCAUACCGGAUAUUCAUUUUUCCUCGCAUGGGGAUUUGUGGAAAGCUUUUGCGGUUGGGGAUGGGCCCGCGGCCUAUCAGCUUGUUGGUGGGGUAAUGGCCUACCAAGGCGACGACGGGUAGCCGGCCUGAGAGGGUGAUCGGCCACACUGGGACUGAGACACGGCCCAGACUCCUACGGGAGGCAGCAGUGGGGAAUAUUGCACAAUGGGCGCAAGCCUGAUGCAGCGACGCCGCGUGAGGGAUGACGGCCUUCGGGUUGUAAACCUCUUUCAGCUCCGACGAAGCGCAAGUGACGGUAGGGGCAGAAGAAGCACCGGCCAACUACGUG
Molecule: ribosomal RNA, 467 nt
Filed under: uncultured bacterium
Lineage: Bacteria
Description: partial 16S ribosomal RNA
Rfam family: Bacterial small subunit ribosomal RNA
Source: RNAcentral